UCGGGAAUUUUGGGCAAUGGGCGAAAGCCUGACCCAGCAACGCCGCGUGAGGGAUGAAGUAUUUCGGUAUGUAAACCUCGAAAGAAUGGGAAGAAUAAAUGACGGUACCAUUUAUAAGCUCCGGCUAACUACGUGCCAGCAGCCGCGGUAAUACGUAGGGAGCAAGCGUCGUUCGGAUUUACGGGGCGUAAAGGGCGCGUAGGCGGCGCGGUAAGUCACUUGUGAAAUCUCUGAGCUUAACUCAGAACGGCCAAGUGAUACUGCUGUGCUAGAGUGCGGAAGAGGCAACCGGAAUUCUUGGUGUAGCGGUGAAAUGCGUAGAUAUCAAGAGGAACACCUGAGGCGAAGGCGGGUUGCUGGGCCGACACUGACGCUGAUGCGCGAAAGCCAGGGGAGCAAACG
This 402-nucleotide ribosomal RNA is filed under the name uncultured bacterium. RNAcentral describes it as "bacterial SSU rRNA". It matches the Rfam family "Bacterial small subunit ribosomal RNA", at positions 355 to 774 of the family's 1533-position model. The record is from RNAcentral.